GACGAACGCUGGCGGCGUGCCUAAUACAUGCAAGUAGGACGCAGUUGCGAACGGGUGAGUAACGCGUAGGUAACUACCUAUUAGAGGGGGAUAACUAUUGGAAACGACAGCUAAUACCGCCUACUAGUAGAUGGAACUGCUUUGUAUUAGCUAGUAGGUUGGGUAAUGGCCUACCUAGGCAACGAUACAUAGACGACCUGAGACGGUGAUCGGCCACCAUGGGACUGGGACACUGGCCAGACUCCUACGGGGGGCAGCCGUAGGGGAUCUUCGUCAAUGGGGCGAAACCUGGCCGAGCAACUCCGCGUGAUAGAAGAAGGUUUUCGGAUCGUAAAGCUCUGUUGUGAAGGAAGCGUUACUGAACCAGAAAGGGACGGCUAACUACGUGCCAGCAGCCGCGGUAAUUC
RNAcentral lists this ribosomal RNA (407 nucleotides) under uncultured bacterium. Its description in RNAcentral is "partial 16S ribosomal RNA". It matches the Rfam family "Bacterial small subunit ribosomal RNA", at positions 28 to 526 of the family's 1533-position model. The record is from RNAcentral.